CUUGGUCAUUUAGAGGAAGUAAAAGUCGUAACAAGGUUUCCGUAGGUGAACCUGCGGAAGGAUCAUUAUCGAAUAAACUAGGUGGGUUGUUGCUGUCCCUCUCGGGGGAAUUGUGCACGCCCUACCUUUUUUGUUUUUCCACCUGUGCACACACUGUAGGUCUGGAGAGGAAGGGAGGCAACUCCCUGACGUUUCAGGUCCUAUGUCUUUACACAUACACUAUUAAAAGUAACAGAACGAUUCAAUGGGCUCUAAGCCUAUAAACUAUAUACAACUUUCAGCAACGGAUCUCUUGGCUCUCGCAUCGAUGAAGAACGCAGCGAAAUGCGAUAAGUAAUGUGAAUUGCAGAAUUCAGUGAAUCAUCGAAUCUUUGAACGCACCUUGCGCUCGUUGGUAUUCCGACGAGCAUGCCUGUUUGAGUGUCAUUAAAUUCUCAACCUCAUCGCUUUUGUGAUGAUGGCUUGGAAGUGGAGGUUUUUUGCGGGCUGAAAAGUCUGCUCCUCUCAAAUGAAUUAGUGGGUGCCCCGCGCAAACCUAUCUAUUGGUGUGAUAAUUAUCUACGCCGUGGAUCCUUAGGAUUGCUGUAAAAAGGUGUUUGCCCUGCUUCUAACCGUCUUCGGACAACUUGAACCAUUUGACCUCAAAUCAGGUAGGACUACCCGCUGAACUUAGGCAUAUCAAUAAGCGGAGGAAAAGAAACUAACAAGGAUUCCCCUAGUAACUGCGAGUGAAGCGGGAAAAGCUCAAAUUUAAAAUCUGGCAGUCUUUGAUUGUCCGAGUUGUAAUCUAGAGAAGCAUUAUCCGCGCUGGACCGUGUACAAGUCUCCUGGAAUGGAGCGUCAUAGAGGGUGAGAAUCCCGUCUUUGACACGGACUGCCAGGGCUUUGUGAUGUGCUCUCAAAGAGUCGAGUUGUUUGGGAAU
Molecule: small RNA, 923 nt
Filed under: uncultured Panaeolus
Lineage: Eukaryota; Fungi; Basidiomycota; Agaricomycetes; Agaricales; Bolbitiaceae
Description: eukaryotic LSU rRNA
Rfam family: Eukaryotic large subunit ribosomal RNA (bases 637-923)
Source: RNAcentral